GGGCCGUUCCUGACGCUGAGGCGCGAAAGCUGGGGGAGCGAACCGGAUUAGAUACCCGGGUAGUCCCAGCCCUAAACGAUGCGGGCUAGGUGUCGGCCCGUUAUUGGGUCGGUGCCGCAGCUAACGCGUUAAGCCCGCCGCCUGGGGAGUACGGUCGCAAGGCUGAAACUCAAGGGAAUUGACGGGGGCCCGCACAAGCGGCGGAGCAUGUGGUUUAAUUCGAUGCUAAGCGAAGAACCUUACCCGGGCUUGACAUGCGGGUGGUACCGACCCGAAAGGGAAGGGACCCAGGGCCUUCGGGCGCCUGGGAGCCCGCACAGGUGCUGCAUGGCUGUCGUCAGCUCGUGUCGUGGGACGUCGGGUUAAGUCCCAGAACGAGCGCAACCCCUGCCCCAGUUACCAGCGGACCCCUUCGGGGGUGCCGGGGACUCUGGCGGGACUGCCGGCGUUCAAGUCGGAGGAAGGGGGGGAUGACGUCAAGUCAUCAUGGCCCUUAUGCCCGGGGCUACACACAUGCUACAGUGCCCGGUACAAAGGGACGCGAACCCGCGAGGGGGAGCCAAUCCCAAAAAGCCGGGCAUGGUUCGGAUUGCAGGCUGCAACCCGCCUGCAUGAAGUGGGAGUCGCUAGUAAUCGCGGGUCAGCUACACCGCGGUGAAUACGUACUCGGGCCUUGUACACACCGCCCGUCACACCAACCGAGUGGGGGGUACCUGAAGUCGCCCGAAGAGGGCGCCGAAGGUACCUUCGGCGAGGGGGGUGAAGUCGUAACAAGGUAGCCGUAGGGGAACCUGCGGCUG
Molecule: ribosomal RNA, 800 nt
Filed under: Candidatus Acetothermia bacterium JdFR-52
Lineage: Bacteria; Candidatus Bipolaricaulota
Description: bacterial SSU rRNA
Rfam family: Bacterial small subunit ribosomal RNA
Source: RNAcentral